GGAUAGCCUGACCAGGCCAACAUUAGAGAUUAGAAAAGGACAUGAAUGUCUGGAUGAAAGCAGUCAAGUCACAUCUAUAAAACAAGUGUGGAUGCUGCAAGACCACACACAAGCCUUAAAGUCUCCAGCCUGUAUUUCCAUGUGUAAUCUGCUUUGCUGGUGUCCACUAUCGGGGCCAAGGGCAGGCUGCCCCAAAAUGUGCCCCUCUGGCAUAUAAUUUCAAAUAAAAGCUACUUAAUAGCCAGUGCAAGGUCACUCAGACCCUCCUCUGUCCUCCUAAAAGCAGGAAACAAAUGUCCCAUGUGAGAAAUACCCUCCCUGUGCUAAAAAAAAAUAAAUAAAUAAAAAUAAAAGCCAUCUUUACCACCUGAGAUAAGGACUUUAGAGCCAAGAAAGAUAAACAAGGGAUCCCUGGGUGGCGCAGCGGUUUGGCGCCUGCCUUUGGCCCAGGGCGCGAUCCUGGAGACCCGGGAUCGAAUCCCACAUCGGGCUCCCGGUGCAUGGAGCCUGCUUCUCCCUCCUCUGCCUGUGUCUCUGCCUCUCUCUCUCUCUCUGUGUGUGACUAUCAUAAAAUAAAAAUAAAAUUAAAAAAAAAAGAAAGAUAAACAAACCUUGCUGUUUUCUAAUCCACUCCCUCAGCCUAAAUUCUGCUUAGAAUCCACUAAUUAAAGCCCCCAAACACCUGUUUUCUUUACCCUGUCGAUUCCUCACAAACAUACUGUCUCCUUGUCCCAAAAAUGCAUAAAAACUGCCUGCCUGCCUUGGUCAUUUCUUUAGGUCUCUACUCUAAUGCUGGGCCUCUGCACGCGGGUAGUAAAACUUGGGUUUCUCCUCCCGUUAAUCUAUUUUAUGUGAAUUCGGUCCAGCUGUCAGCCCUUCGAGGGUGAAGGAAGGUUUUCCUUUUCCUCCCCCGCAGCGCUGAUCACGCCACAAGGUGACCUGCUAGCGGCCCUCCUGGAGAACUUGCUCUCACGAUCAAAAUCACGGAAAACGGCUCAUUCCCGGUCCCUGCAGGCACCGGGCAAGGGAGUCGCUUCGGCAGAAGCCGCGCGGGGCGCGGGUGUAUACGUGAGCAGACACAGGGAGAAGAUGGCCACCAGCAAGCAUCGGAGAGACGACUUGGAAGAAACCAACUCUGCGCACACCUUGACCUUGAAUUCGCAGUCUCCAGAAUUGUGAGAGUAGAAAUUUCUGUUGGGUGCCCACGGUUGGUCUUGGCAGAUUUCCGGACACAAUAUUCUGCUGGCUACAGACAGUGCUUUGCACACCUGAUCUUCUCCCCAUAAUUAAAAAGCAUCAUCAGAGGCAGAGACACAGGCAGAAAGAGAAGCAGAGAGAGAAGCAGGCUCCAUGCCGGGAGCCCGACGUGGGACUCGAUCCCGGGACUCCAGGCUGCAGGCGGCGCUAAACCGCUGCACCACCAGGGCUGCCCCUAAAAUUUACCAUCUUAAUCACUUUUAAGUGUGCAGUUUCUGUGCCUUUCUGAAUUUUCCUACCUGUUCUAUCAUGCCCUUUGCCAUUUCAUACAAGUUAUUAUGUAAAAUUUACGUAGUAAUAUUUAAAUGAAAUAAAACAUAUAAGGAUUAUAACGACAAA
This is a long non-coding RNA of Nyctereutes procyonoides (raccoon dog), 1596 nucleotides long. RefSeq lists it as uncharacterized. The record is from RefSeq and is a predicted model, not a curated record. NCBI's taxonomy places the organism in Eukaryota, Metazoa, Chordata, Mammalia, Carnivora, Canidae. The transcript is spliced from 4 exons.